Molecule: ribosomal RNA, 732 nt
Filed under: uncultured eukaryote
Lineage: Eukaryota
Description: SSU rRNA
Rfam family: Eukaryotic small subunit ribosomal RNA
Source: RNAcentral
UAGUCUGGUGCCAGCAGCCGCGGUAAUUCCAGCUCCAAUAGCGUAUAUUAAAGUUGUUGCAGUUAAAACGCUCGUAGUCGGAUUUCGGGGCGGGCCGACCGGUCUGCCGAUGGGUAUGCACUGGUCGGCGCGUCCUUCCACCCGGAGACCGCGCCUACUCUUAACUGAGCGGGCGCGGGAGACGGGUCUUUUACUUUGAAAAAAUCAGAGUGUUUCAAGCAGGCAGUCGCUCUUGCAUGGAUUAGCAUGGGAUAAUGAAAUAGGACUCUGGUGCUAUUUUGUUGGUUUCGAACACCGGAGUAAUGAUUAACAGGGACAGUCAGGGGCACUCGUAUUCCGCCGAGAGAGGUGAAAUUCUCAGACCAGCGGAAGACGAACCACUGCGAAAGCAUUUGCCAGGGAUGUCUUCACUGAUCAAGAACGAAAGUUAGGGGAUCGAAGACGAUCAGAUACCGUCGUAGUCUUAACCAUAAACCAUGCCGACUAGGGAUUGGAGGAUGUUCCAUUGUGACUCCUUCAGCACCUUUCGGGAAACUAAAGUCUUUGGGUUCCGGGGGGAGUAUGGUCGCAAGGCUGAAACUUAAAGGAAUUGACGGAAGGGCACCACCAGGAGUGGAGCCUGCGGCUUAAUUUGACUCAACACGGGGAAACUUACCAGGUCCAGACAUUGUGAGGAUUGACAGAUUGAGAGCUCUUUCUUGAUUCGAUGGGUGGUGGUGCAUGGCCGUUCUU